GACGAACGCUGGCGGCGUGCCUAAUACAUGCAAGUUGAGCGCUGAAGGUUGGUACUUGUACCGACUGGAUGAGCAGCGAACGGGUGAGUAACGCGUGGGGAAUCUGCCUUUGAGCGGGGGACAACAUUUGGAAACGAAUGCUAAUACCGCAUAAAAACUUUAAACACAAGUUUUAAGUUUGAAAGAUGCAAUUGCAUCACUCAAAGAUGAUCCCGCGUUGUAUUAGCUAGUUGGUGAGGUAAAGGCUCACCAAGGCGAUGAUACAUAGCCGACCUGAGAGGGUGAUCGGCCACAUUGGGACUGAGACACGGCCCAAACUCCUACGGGAGGCAGCAGUAGGGAAUCUUCGGCAAUGGACGAAAGUCUGACCGAGCAACGCCGCGUGAGUGAAGAAGGUUUUCGGAUCGUAAAACUCUGUUGGUAGAGAAGAACGUUGGUGAGAGUGGAAAACUCAUCAAGUGACGGUAACUACCCAGAAAGGGACGGCUAACUACGUG
This 497-nucleotide ribosomal RNA is filed under the name uncultured bacterium. Its description in RNAcentral is "partial 16S ribosomal RNA". It matches the Rfam family "Bacterial small subunit ribosomal RNA", at positions 28 to 507 of the family's 1533-position model. The record is from RNAcentral.